This 406-nucleotide ribosomal RNA is filed under the name uncultured bacterium. RNAcentral's name for it is "partial 16S ribosomal RNA". It matches the Rfam family "Bacterial small subunit ribosomal RNA", at positions 30 to 526 of the family's 1533-position model. The record is from RNAcentral.
AUUGAACGCUGGCGGCAGGCCUAACACAUGCAAGUCGAACGAGUGGCGGACGGGUGAGUAAUGUCUGGGAAACUGCCUGAUGGAGGGGGAUAACUACUGGAAACGGUAGCUAAUACCGCAUACCAUCAGAUGUGCCCAGAUGGGAUUAGCUAGUUGGUGGGGUAACGGCUCACCAAGGCGACGAUCCCUAGCUGGUCUGAGAGGAUGACCAGCCAACCUGGUACUGAGACACGGUCCAGACUCCUACGGUAGGCAGAAGUGGGGAAUAUUGAACAAUGGGCGCAAGCCUGAUGCAGCCAUGCGGCGUGUAUGAAGAAGGCCUUCGGGUGGGAAAGUACUUUCAGCGGGGAGGCGUUACCCGCAGAAGAAGCACCGGCUAACUCCGUGCCAGCAGCCGCGGUAAUUC